RNAcentral lists this ribosomal RNA (1719 nucleotides) under human gut metagenome. Its description in RNAcentral is "bacterial LSU rRNA". It matches the Rfam family "Bacterial large subunit ribosomal RNA", at positions 178 to 1977 of the family's 2925-position model. The record is from RNAcentral.
GGGGAACCGCCUGAACUGAAACAUCUAAGUAGGGCGAGGAAGAGAAAUCAACCGAGAUUCCGCUAGUAGUGGCGAGCGAACGCGGAAGAGGCCAAACCGGAGGUAGCAAUAUUUCCGGGGUUAGGACUGCAAUAUGUAACUUUAAUCUUUAACUGAAUGCUUUGGGAAGAGCAGCGAUACAGGGUGAUAGCCCCGUAAGUGAAAAGGAUUGAGUGCUAGCAGUAUCCAGAGUACCAGCGGACACGUGAAACCCGCUGGGAAGAUGGGGGGACCAUCCUCCAAGCCUAAAUACUACUCAGUGACCGAUAGUGGAGCAGUACCGUGAGGGAAAGGUGAAAAGUACCCCGGGAGGGGAGUGAAAAAGAACCUGAAACCUUGUGCCUACAAGCACCGAGAGCACGUUAAAGUGUGAUCGGGUACUUUUUGUAGAACGGUCCGGCGAGUUAAUAUUUGCAGCGAGGUUAAGGAACUGGAGUUCCGGAGCCGCAGCGAGAGCGAGUCUGAAUAGGGCGUAUGAAGUUGCAGGUAUUAGACCCGAAACCGGGUGACCUAUCCAUGAGCAGGCUGAAGCGGUGGUAAGACACCGUGGAGGGCCGCACCCACGUCUGUUGAAAAAGCCGGGGAUGACUUGUGGAUAGCGGAGAAAUUCCAAUCGAACUCGGAGAUAGCUGGUUCUCCCCGAAAUAGCUUUAGGGCUAGCGUUAUUUUAGAUUACCGGAGGUAAAGCACUGAAUGGUCUAGGGGCCGCGAGGUUACCAAAGCCUAUCAAACUCUGAAUGCCGGAUAAUUGAUGAAUAGCAGUCAGACUGUGUGAGAUAAGUCUCAUAGUCAAAAGGGAAACAGCCCAGAUCUACAGCUAAGGUCCCAAAUGAACACUAAGUGGAAAAUGAUGUGAAACUGCGAAGACAACCAGGAUGUUGGCUUAGAAGCAGCCACUCAUUCAAAGAGUGCGUAAUAGCUCACUGGUCGAGUGGUUUUGCGCAGAAAAUGUAACGGGGCUAAGUGUUCAACCGAAGCUUAGGCAUUGCAGUAAUGCAUUGGGUAGGGGAGCGUCGUAUGCGGGGCGAAGUCAGAGCGGAAGCACUGGUGGACUGCAUACGAGUGAGAAUGCCGGAAUAAGUAGCGAGAAUUAUGUGAGAAUCAUAAUGGCCGAAAAUCUAAGGUUUCUUGGGGAAGGUUCGUCCGCCCAAGGUUAGUCGGGAGCUAAGCUCAGGCCGAAAGGCGUAGGCGAUGCACAUACGGUAGAAAUUCCGUAACCACCGAACAUUUAAGCUAGAGGGACGCUUUCUUUAAGGUUAUCCCGGGCGAUGGUUGCCCCGGGCGUAAGGGACCGAAAUAUAGUAGGGAAGUAACUGGCGAGAGAGACGAGAAAAGCUCUAGUGUAUACUAAGGUGCCCGUACCGCAAACCGACACAGGUAGAUGGGAUGAGUAUUCUAAGGCCAACGGGAGAAGGGUUGUUAAGGAACUCGGCAAAUUGGCCCCGUAACUUCGGGAUAAGGGGCGCCUGCGAGAGCAGGCCGCAGUGAAAAGGCCCAAGCGACUGUUUAGCAAAAACACAGCUCUCUGCUAAAUCGAAAGAUGACGUAUAGGGGGUGACGCCUGCCCGGUGCUGGAAGGUUAAGGGGAGUGCUUAGCGCAAGCGAAGGUGCGAACUUAAGCCCCAGUAAACGGCGGCCGUAACUAUAACGGUCCUAAGGUAGCGAAAUUCCUUGUCAGGU